UCUGGGGAAGGAAAUAAGGCAAUUAUACCUUAUUCACUUAAGCACAGCAUUGAGUCUACAAAUAGAAGUUCAAUUAUUUUAAAUAGUCACACAACUGCAUGUGUAAAGCAACAGUUACAUUUAACAGUCAUUUGUAAACAUGUGUUUAUACUGAACAUAGAGAAGGCAUAUGAAAUCCAAAGAGAGGACCACUGAGCUUUCUUAUCCAGCUCUGUCUCUACAAUCAGCUCUGCAGCCUGAUGAGAUCAUCUCAGCUGACAAGGGUUCCUGUGUAAUUCUCCAAAGAAAAGAGCUACAAAGUUUAAAGAAUACUAAGAAUCAAACCAGACUUAUGCAUUUUCCAUAUACAAACGAACUUGGAAAGCACUCAUUCCCUCCAUCACUGGACCUGACUGUGUCUAUUAUUACUAACCAUCUUGUUUGUCAACAUAUUUCCCAAUUAAUCUGGGUAAGUGGUCAAUUUUAUCUGACAACUUAACUGGGUCAGGGGUGCA
Molecule: long non-coding RNA, 494 nt
Filed under: Fukomys damarensis (Damara mole-rat)
Lineage: Eukaryota; Metazoa; Chordata; Mammalia; Rodentia; Bathyergidae
Description: lncRNA (ENSFDAG00000029293.1)
Source: RNAcentral